RNAcentral lists this ribosomal RNA (254 nucleotides) under uncultured bacterium. RNAcentral describes it as "partial 16S ribosomal RNA". It matches the Rfam family "Bacterial small subunit ribosomal RNA", at positions 100 to 354 of the family's 1533-position model. The record is from RNAcentral.
GGACGGGUGAGUAACGCGUGGAUAACCUGCCGUAUACCGGGGGAUAACACUUAGAAAUAGGUGCUAAUACCGCAUAAGCGCACGGCUCCGCAUGGGGCAGUGUGAAAAACUCCGGUGGUAUACGAUGGAUCCGCGUCUGAUUAGCUAGUUGGCGGGGUAACGGCCCACCAAGGCAGCGAUCAGUAGCCGGCCUGAGAGGGUGGACGGCCACAUUGGGACUGAGACACGGCCCAAACUCCUACGGGAGGCAGCAG